Anas platyrhynchos (mallard) is the source of this 663-nucleotide non-coding RNA. Lineage: Eukaryota; Metazoa; Chordata; Aves; Anseriformes; Anatidae. The record is from RefSeq and is a predicted model, not a curated record.
UGGUGCCAAAGUGAACUUGCUGCUUUCUGUUCAGGUCCUCUAAGAAUAAAGGGAAAAGCUGAAUUACGAAAAUCUUCCCCAACAUCUCCUGACAUCAUAGAGGAUAUCGUGAAGGAGUUACAGGAGGCAGCACCUGGGAUGGCCAGAGAGACAGUACCGAAGGAAGUACUUUGGAAAUUAAACGGCCGCACGCUGCCGCUCUCUGGGAAAGGGGCAGAGGCAACGCAGGCAACUGCCACACCAGCUGUUCUCAUAGGCUCUGCCUAUCCAACACCUCAGCCUCAUGUGGACCACGAGUCUCAGACCAAUCCAACAGCUAAGUCAGCGCAAGGAAGGAGCAUCCAGGUGCUGCAGAGCCCAAAUGUCAGACAGGCAUCCCUGCAGGAUGAUGCAGGAUGUUCCCUGUCCAGGCACGACCCCUGGUAUGCUCUCCUUCUGAGCUACUGAUGUAGGUGUUGAUGUGACAGAAACUUCUCACGGGUCUUUGCUUGCAGAAGUGUCCCCAGGGAGGGCUUUACCAGACCCUCGGCUGCUUCCUGCACUGGAGCCCAGCUGGUCUCCCAGGGGUCCUCUUAGAAGAAAGGGAAAAGCUGAUUUAAGAAAAGCUUCCCCAGCGUCCUCUGACAUCAUAGAGGAUAUCGUAAAGGAGUUAGCGAAGGCAGC